Molecule: long non-coding RNA, 485 nt
Organism: Bactrocera latifrons
Lineage: Eukaryota; Metazoa; Arthropoda; Insecta; Diptera; Tephritidae
Exons: 2
Source: RefSeq, a predicted model, not a curated record
GCGUUUGCACGUGUUCGACUAGAAUUGUGGCGGAGAGUCAUGCUCAGCACGUAGCGGUGGCGCAAUACGGUACUCAAUGCUUAGUGGUAAUAACAACAACAAUAACAAGAGUAGCAACGCAUUGCCACCCCUUGAGGCUGGAUCAACCACUAGCGGAAAUACUGAAAAAAGUAAUUAAGAAGAGAGCCAAAAAUCAAGUUGCGAAAAAAGAUUGGUGCAACUAGCGAGAAUAGUAAAAACUAGCGAAUUUAUUACAAAAAAAAAAAAAGUACAACAACAUUGCGAGAUACGCAUGUAUAGCGUGUUAAGUGUCGAGAUUAAAGCGGCAAUAAAACAACAAAAAGAUAGCGGGCAAAAAUAAUCAGAAUUGGUAAGAGAUUUGCGAACAAAUGGGCAUAAAAUGUGGCUGAUGUCGGAAAUUUAAGGAGCUGCGGAGUUAAGCGAUACGUAAAGCGUACAAAAUGAGAUAAAUAAAAAAAAAAAAA